CCUUGAGGCACUGCAGCACAGCGUUAUCUCCCUCUGUGGAGAGAGAGGGAGAGAGGUGUGGGCAUGGGUGGUGGGGGGGGACCUCCAAGCCCCCCCACUCCUCACACCAGGUUAUAGAGCAGAGGACUCCAAAAGCUGGGAGUGGAGGAGCCGGCAGAGUCCUUCCAACCCUUUCCUGAAUUUUACAAAUAAGAAAAUGGAGGCUCAGAGAGGGAGGCCGAGGCGAGAGGAUCCUUUGAGGACAGGAGUUUGAGACCAGCCUGUGCAACACAGCGAGAACCCAUCUCUAUAGAAAUUUUUUUAAAAACAAAAAAUGUCAGUUGCUUCUCAUCUACCUAAAAUAAAAACUCCAACCCAA
Molecule: long non-coding RNA, 358 nt
Organism: Pan troglodytes (chimpanzee)
Lineage: Eukaryota; Metazoa; Chordata; Mammalia; Primates; Hominidae
Exons: 2
Source: RefSeq, a predicted model, not a curated record